UAUUCGAGACCGAAUUCGUUUAGAGGGGUUCAGAUCUGUCCGUAUUCGAGUCCGAAUAUUCAACAUCCGAUACCGUAUCCGUAUCCGAAUACUUAAAUCGUAUAUUUGUGAUGUCGACAUCCAAUCAUAUCUUAUCCGACAUGGUUGACAUUAUCCGUAUUCGAAUCCGAAUCCGACCAAAAACAUGAAAACAAAUAUGAUAUCAGUGAUAUCCGUCCGUAUCCGAUCCGUUUUCAUCCCUA
RNAcentral lists this long non-coding RNA (242 nucleotides) under Sorghum bicolor (sorghum). RNAcentral's name for it is "long non-coding RNA (SBIC_LNC000639)". The record is from RNAcentral. Lineage: Eukaryota; Viridiplantae; Streptophyta; Magnoliopsida; Poales; Poaceae.